GACGAACGCUGGCGGCGUGCUUAACACAUGCAAGUCGAACGAAGAACCUUCCUUCGGGAAGGGGACGAGUGGCGAACGGGUGAGUAACACGUGGGCAACCUGCCCCUCGCUCUGGGAUAACCCCGGGAAACCGGGGCUAAUACCGGAUAUUCAACUCCGCAGGCAUCUGUGGGGUUGGAAAGGAUUCUGGCGAGGGAUGGGCCCGCGGCCUAUCAGCUUGUUGGUGGGGUAAUGGCCUACCAAGGCGACGACGGGUAACCGGCCUGAGAGGGCGACCGGUCACACUGGGACUGAGACACGGCCCAGACUCCUACGGGAGGCAGCAGUGGGGAAUAUUGCGCAAUGGGCGAAAGCCUGACGCAGCAACGCCGCGUGAGGGAUGAAGUACGUCGAGAUGUAAACCUCUUUCAGCAGGGACGAAGCGAAAGUGACGGUACCUGCAGAAGAAGCGCCGGCUAAACUACGUGCCAGCAGCCGCGGUAAU
RNAcentral lists this ribosomal RNA (484 nucleotides) under uncultured bacterium. RNAcentral's name for it is "bacterial SSU rRNA". It matches the Rfam family "Bacterial small subunit ribosomal RNA", at positions 28 to 524 of the family's 1533-position model. The record is from RNAcentral.